AGAGAUGGAUAUGUAAUCGCUUUACACAUUAAUUGUAAAGAGGAAAGUCCGAACUUUAUCUGUAGAAAAUUAUACUGCAGAAAAUGGUAAUAGGUAAUUCCUAUCAUUCGUAAGAGUAGAGGUGCGAACAGAGACGUUUUUCUUUGGAAACAAAAAAAAUAUCCUACAAUAUACAAAGGGAUAAGUUUUUGCAGUAAUGCAAAAAGUGAAACGGCUAAAACCUUACCAUAAAGCAAGACUGAAAAAUUAUAGUCGCUUGAUCGUUAAAAGCAAUUUUAACGACAGAGAAAUGAUUGCACUUUUAAAUUCUUAUUUUAAAAGACAGAAUUCGGUGUAUAAUCCAUCUCUAGGG
This 352-nucleotide RNase P RNA is filed under the name Candidatus Endomicrobiellum mastotermitis. RNAcentral describes it as "RNase P RNA component class A". It matches the Rfam family "Bacterial RNase P class A". From Rfam's summary of the family: Ribonuclease P (RNase P) is a ubiquitous endoribonuclease, found in archaea, bacteria and eukarya as well as chloroplasts and mitochondria. The record is from RNAcentral. Lineage: Bacteria; Pseudomonadati; Elusimicrobiota; Endomicrobiia; Endomicrobiales; Endomicrobiaceae.